This 460-nucleotide ribosomal RNA is filed under the name uncultured bacterium. RNAcentral's name for it is "partial 16S ribosomal RNA". It matches the Rfam family "Bacterial small subunit ribosomal RNA", at positions 338 to 795 of the family's 1533-position model. The record is from RNAcentral.
CCUACGGGAGGCAGCAGUGAGGAAUAUUGGUCAAUGGCCGAAAGGCUGAUCCAGCCAAGUCGCGUGAAGGAAGAAGGAUCUAUGGUUUGUAAACUUCUUUUAUAGGGGCGUAAAGGUAUCCACGAGUGGAUAUUUGCAUGUACCCUAUGAAUAAGCAUCGGCUAACUCCGUGCCAGCAGCCGCGGUAAUACGGAGGAUGCGAGCGUUAUCCGGAUUUAUUGGGUUUAAAGGGUGCGUAGGUUGUUUUUUAAGUCAGCGGUGAAAGUUUGUGGCUCAACCAUAAAAUUGCCGUUGAAACUGGAAGACUUGAGUGUGGGUGAGGUAGGCGGAAUGCGGGGUGUAGCGGUGAAAUGCGUAGAUAUCACGAAGAACUCCGAUGGCGAAGGCAGCUUACUAGGCCAUAACUGACACUGAGGCACGAAAGCGUGGGGAGCAAACAGGAUUAGAUACCCGGGUAGUC